RNAcentral lists this ribosomal RNA (433 nucleotides) under uncultured bacterium. RNAcentral describes it as "partial 16S ribosomal RNA". It matches the Rfam family "Bacterial small subunit ribosomal RNA", at positions 29 to 507 of the family's 1533-position model. The record is from RNAcentral.
AACGAACGCUGGCGGCAUGCCUAACACAUGCAAGUCGAACGAGACCUUCGGGUCUAGUGGCGCACGGGUGCGUAACGCCUGGGAACCUGCCCUUCUGUUCGGCAUAACUCCCCGAAAGGGGUGCUAAUACCCGAUAAUGUCUUCCGACCAUAGAUUUAUUGGCAUUGGAUGGGCGCGCGUUGGAUUAGAUAGUUGGGAGGGUAAAAGUCGCCCAAGGCGAGAAUCCAUAACUGGUCUGAGCGAAUGUCCACCCACACGGGGACUGGGACACGGCCAAGACUCCUACGGGAGGAGGCGGUAGGGAAUAUUGAAAAAGGGCGGAAGGCCUGAUCCAGCAAUGCCGCGUAAGUGAUAAAGGCCUUAGGGUUGUAAAGCUCUGAUACCCGGGAUGAUAAUGACAGUACCGGGAGAAUAAGCUCCGGCUAACUCCGUG